This is a non-coding RNA of Caerostris darwini, 100 nucleotides long. The record is from the annotation of a GenBank genome assembly. Lineage: Eukaryota; Metazoa; Arthropoda; Arachnida; Araneae; Araneidae.
AACGGCCGUACCAUGCUGAAUAUACCGGUUCUCGUUAGAUCACCGAAGUUAAGCGGUCAGUACUUGGGUGGGUGACCACCUGGGAACACUGCGUGCCGUU